This 301-nucleotide ribosomal RNA is filed under the name uncultured bacterium. RNAcentral's name for it is "partial 16S ribosomal RNA". It matches the Rfam family "Bacterial small subunit ribosomal RNA", at positions 509 to 809 of the family's 1533-position model. The record is from RNAcentral.
CAGCAGCCACGGUAAUACGUAGGGUGCAAGCGUUAAUCGGAAUUACUGGGCGUAAAGCGUGCGCAGGCGGUUUGUUAAGACAGAUGUGAAAUCCCCGGGCUCAACCUGGGAACUGCAUUUGUGACUGGCAAGCUAGAGUCUGGCAGAGGGGGGUGGAAUUCCGCGUGUAGCAGUGAAAUGCGUAGAUAUGCGGAGGAACACCGAUGGCGAAGGCAGCCCCCUGGGCCAACACUGACGCUCAUGCACGAAAGCGUGGGGAGCAAACAGGAUUAGAUACCCGCGUAGUCCCUGUCUCUUAUAA